AUUGAACGCUAGCGGGAUGCUUUACACAUGCAAGUCGAACGAGUGGCGGACGGGUGUGUCACAUAUGGGACCGUGCCCAGUAGCGGGGGAUACCUACUCGAAAGAUUGGUUAUUACCGCAUACCAUUGGAGCGGCCGAUAUCGGAUUAGCUAGUUGGUAGGGUAAAGGCUCACCAGGGCAACGAUCCGUAGCUGGUUUGAGGGGACGACCAGCCAAACGGGGACUGAGACACGGCCCAGACUCCGACGGGAGGCAGCAGUGGGGAAUUUUGGACAAUGGGGGAAGCCCUGAUCCGGCCAGCCCGCGUAGAUGAGAAGGCCUUGGGGGUGUAAAGUACUUUUGGAAGAGAAGCGGUAUCUGCAGAAUAAGCACCGGCUAACUACGUGCCAGCAGCCGCGGUAAUUC
RNAcentral lists this ribosomal RNA (405 nucleotides) under uncultured bacterium. Its description in RNAcentral is "partial 16S ribosomal RNA". It matches the Rfam family "Bacterial small subunit ribosomal RNA", at positions 30 to 526 of the family's 1533-position model. The record is from RNAcentral.